CAGGAAUGAUCCUGCCUUGUGUAGGGAGCUAGACUAGAUGACCUUGUGAGGUCCCUUGCAGCCCUGCUUUCCUAUAGUCCUAUACUCCAUUCUUGCCCUUCAUCCUCAAUGCUCAGGACUGAGGGGAUAUAUUCAAUGUAUGCAUCCUACUCCUCAGUUUCUUCUCAACUGCAGAGCUCCUAUUGAUAUGACUUAAGGAAGAAGAAAAAGAAGGGUGACUGUGAGUGUGGACAAUGCAUCUUGAAGAACUUCAGUAACCUCCUUUUUUUAUUAGAGUAACUGUCCACACACACAUUUUCCUACGUAGGGGACUCCAAAGCAUAAUUCACCAUCAUUUGGAGGUAAAUCUUGGAAUUCCCUAAGUGAAAAAAAGAUGUGCUCUAGCAGCAUCACCCCAUGAAAUCUCCCUCACUGCACAAUGCUUAGCAAAGGCUUGGAUUGUACUUCACACUGCUGUCUUACAGAUGUCUGUUAGACAAACCCCAUGCAAGAAAGCUACAGACAUAGCCUCAAGUGCAGUGGACCAAAGCAAAUGGUGACUCCACCUUGGCAGUCUCAUAACACAAUUAAGUACAAUCUGAGAUCUAGCCUGACAGUCUCUGGGGACAAAUUGCUGUGCCUUUCAAUCUUUUGCCUAUGGCUACUAUCACAAGAGGGCAACAGGCAGCUGGGCCUAGCAGUUAGGUUUGGGGUCAGUAACCUGACUCCAGACCCACAUGUCAAGGCAGUCUGGAGCUGGUGGUCAAACCAGAAUCCAGAUGUGGUCAGGAGCAGGUGACAGACAGCAACA
Molecule: long non-coding RNA, 790 nt
Organism: Gavialis gangeticus (Gharial)
Lineage: Eukaryota; Metazoa; Chordata; Crocodylia; Gavialidae
Exons: 3
Source: RefSeq, a predicted model, not a curated record